This 448-nucleotide ribosomal RNA is filed under the name uncultured bacterium. RNAcentral's name for it is "partial 16S ribosomal RNA". It matches the Rfam family "Bacterial small subunit ribosomal RNA", at positions 329 to 792 of the family's 1533-position model. The record is from RNAcentral.
CGCCAGACUCCUACGGGAGGCAGCAGUGGGGGAUAUUGCACAAUGGGGGAAACCCUGAUGCAGCGACGCCGCGUGGGCGAAGAAGUAUUUCGGUAUGUAAAGCCCUAUCAGCAGGGAAGAAGAAAUGACGGUACCUGAGUAAGAAGCACCGGCUAAAUACGUGCCAGCAGCCGCGGUAAUACGUAUGGUGCAAGCGUUAUCCGGAUUUACUGGGUGUAAAGGGAGCGUAGACGGCGGCGCAAGUCCGGAGUGAAAGCCCGCGGCCCAACCGUGGGACUGCUCUGGAAACUGUGCGGCUUGAGUGCGGGAGGGGCAGGCGGAAUUCCUAGUGUAGCGGUGAAAUGCGUAGAUAUUAGGAGGAACACCGGCGGCGAAGGCGGCCUGCUGGACCGUAACUGACGUUGAGGCUCGAAAGCGUGGGGAGCAAACAGGAUUAGAUACCCCUGUA